GACGAACGCUGGCGGCGUGCUUAACACAUGCCAGUCGAACGGAAAGGCCCUGCUUUUGUGGGGUGCUCGAGUGGCGAACGGGUGAGUAACACGUGAGUAACCUGCCCUUGACUUUGGAAUAACUUCAGGAAACUGGGGCUAAUACCGGAUAGGAGCUCCUGCUGCAUGGUGGGGGUUGGAAAGUUUCGGCGGUUGGGGAUGGACUCGCGGCUUAUCAGCUUGUUGGUGGGGUAGUGGCUUACCAAGGCUUUGACGGGUAGCCGGCCUGAGAGGGUGACCGGCCACAUUGGGACUGAGAUACGGCCCAGACUCCUACGGGAGGCAGCAGUGGGGAAUAUUGCACAAUGGGCGGAAGCCUGAUGCAGCAGCGCCGCGUGCGGGAUGACGGCCUUCGGGUUGUAAACCGCUUUCGCCUGUGACGAAGCGUGAGUGACGGUAAUGGGUAAAGAAGCACCGGCUAACUACGUG
Molecule: ribosomal RNA, 468 nt
Filed under: uncultured bacterium
Lineage: Bacteria
Description: partial 16S ribosomal RNA
Rfam family: Bacterial small subunit ribosomal RNA
Source: RNAcentral